RNAcentral lists this ribosomal RNA (253 nucleotides) under uncultured bacterium. RNAcentral's name for it is "partial 16S ribosomal RNA". It matches the Rfam family "Bacterial small subunit ribosomal RNA", at positions 524 to 776 of the family's 1533-position model. The record is from RNAcentral.
GACGUAGGGCGCGAGCGUUGUCCGGAUUUAUUGGGCGUAAAGAGCUCGUAGGCGGCUUGUCGCGUCGACUGUGAAAACCCGAGGCUCAACUUCGGGCUUGCAGUCGAUACGGGCAGGCUAGAGUUCGGUAGGGGAGACUGGAAUUCCUGGUGUAGCGGUGAAAUGCGCAGAUAUCAGGAGGAACACCGAUGGCGAAGGCAGGUCUCUGGGCCGGUACUGACGCUGAGACGCGAAAGCGUGGGGAGCGAACAGG